This 76-nucleotide small RNA is filed under the name Lysobacterales bacterium. Its description in RNAcentral is "sX9 sRNA". It matches the Rfam family "Xanthomonas sRNA sX9". Lineage: Bacteria; Pseudomonadati; Pseudomonadota; Gammaproteobacteria; Lysobacterales. The record is from RNAcentral.
AUGUACACAGUUCGUACACUGCGGUUCCUGCGCGCCGGCGAUCACCGUCAGCCGUCCGCUCGCUACGUUUUGAGCA